Molecule: ribosomal RNA, 497 nt
Filed under: uncultured bacterium
Lineage: Bacteria
Description: partial 16S ribosomal RNA
Rfam family: Bacterial small subunit ribosomal RNA
Source: RNAcentral
GAUGAACGCUGGCGGCGUGCCUAAUACAUGCAAGUCGAGCGAACAGACGAGGAGCUUGCUCCUCUGACGUUAGCGGCGGACGGGUGAGUAACACGUGGAUAACCUACCUAUAAGACUGGGAUAACUUCGGGAAACCGGAGCUAAUACCGGAUAAUAUAUUGAACCGCAUGGUUCAAUAGUGAAAGACGGUUUUGCUGUCACUUAUAGAUGGAUCCGCGCCGCAUUAGCUAGUUGGUAAGGUAACGGCUUACCAAGGCGACGAUGCGUAGCCGACCUGAGAGGGUGAUCGGCCACACUGGAACUGAGACGCGGUCCAGACUCCUACGGGAGGCAGCAGUAGGGAAUCUUCCGCAAUGGGCGAAAGCCUGACGGAGCAACGCCGCGUGAGUGAUGAAGGUCUUCGGAUCGUAAAACUCUGUUAUUAGGGAAGAACAAAUGUGUAAGUAACUAUGCACGCCUUGACGGUACCUAAUCAGAAAGCCACGGCUAACUACGUG